Molecule: ribosomal RNA, 610 nt
Filed under: uncultured fungus
Lineage: Eukaryota; Fungi
Description: SSU rRNA
Rfam family: Eukaryotic small subunit ribosomal RNA
Source: RNAcentral
GCUCCAAUAGCGUAUAUUAAAGUUGUUGCAGUUAAAAAGCUUGUAGUUGAAACUUAGGUCUAGCUAGCAGGUCCGCCUCACCGCGUGUACUUGUUCGGCUGGGCCUUCCUUCUAGAGAACCUUAUGCCCUUUACUAGGCGUGUUAGGGACCAGGACUUUUACUUUAAAAAAAUUAGAGUGUUUAAAGUAGGCCUUUGCUCGAAUACGUUAGCAUAGAAUAAUAGAAUAGGACGUGCGGUCCUAUUUUGUUAGUUUCUAGGACCGCUGUAAUAAUUAAUAGGGACAGUUGGGGGCAUUAGUAUUCAAUUGUUAGAGGUGAAAUUCUUAGAUUUAUUAAAGACUAACUACUGCGAAAGCAUUUGCUAAGGAUGUUUUUAUUAAUUAGUGAACGAAAGUUAGGGGAUCAAAGACAAUUAGAUACUGUUGUAGUCUUAACUGUAAACUAUGCCAACUAGGGAUUGGGCGAUGUUCUUUUUCUGACUCGCUUGGCACCUUACAAGAAAUUAAAGUUUUUGGGUUCUGGGGGGAGUAUAGUCGCAAGGCUAAAACUUAAAGAAAUUGAUAGAAGGGCACUACUAGGCGUGGAGCCUGCGGCUUAAUUCGACUCAAC